This 863-nucleotide ribosomal RNA is filed under the name Arthonia tenellula. RNAcentral's name for it is "SSU rRNA". It matches the Rfam family "Bacterial small subunit ribosomal RNA", at positions 375 to 1294 of the family's 1533-position model. Lineage: Eukaryota; Fungi; Ascomycota; Arthoniomycetes; Arthoniales; Arthoniaceae. The record is from RNAcentral.
CUAACAGGUUAAAAGACAAAAGCUAAAUGAAGUUUUUAGUGGUUUAUCCACAUAAAGAUCUGAUAGGAUACUGAUAAUGACAAUAUCUUAUACAAGUCUUGACUAAAUCACGUGCCAGCAGUCGCGGCAAUACGGGAAAGACGAGUGUUAUUCAUCUUUAAUAGGUUUAAAGGGUACCUAGACAGUAUAUUUUGCUUUUAUAGGUACAUUUAUGCUAGAGUUUUAUGUGAGAGGAAUUUAGUACUAACGGAGUAGAGAUGAAAUUCUUUGAUACUGUUGGGCACUGAUAACGGCGAAGGCAGACCUCUAUGUAAAAACUGACGUUGAGGGACGAAGGCUUGGGUAGCAAACAGGAUUAGGUACCCUAAUAGUCCAGGCAGAAAAUGAUGAGUGUCAUAGAUUAGAGUAAUUUUGAUCUAUAAAUGAAAGUGUAAGCAUUCCACCUCAAGAGUAAUGUGGCAACGCAGGAACUGAAAUCAUUAGACCGUGUCUGAAACCAGUAGUGAAGUAUGUUAUUUAAUUCGAUGACCCGCGAAAAACCUUACCACGAAUUGCAUAUAGUAGUAAAAUAAAGUCUAUAUACUUUAUAAGGAAUCUUUUUAUAAAAAAGAGUACUAUUUAUACAAGUGCUGCAUGGCUGUCUUAAGUUAAUGUCGUGAGAUGCAGGUUAGCUCCAUUGAAUUAACGUAAACCCUCAUCACACUUAAGGUGUGGUGGUUCUCUGGCACAUCGGAAAGAUAAGUGGGAACAAGACAAGUACUCAUGGCCUAAACUUUCGUGGGCUAUAGACGUGCCACAUAUGCCUAGACAAAGUGAUGCUAAAAUGCGAAUAGCAAGCUAAUCACCAAAACAGGCUAUAAUAA